AGGUUCCCAGGCUAGGGGUCUAAUCAGGGCUGUAGCUGCUGGCGUACUCCAUAGAAACACCAAAUCCAAGUGGUGUCUGUGAUCUACACCACACCUCAUGGCAAUGUUGGAUCCUUAACCCACUGAGUGAGCCCAGGGAUCAAACCCACAUCCUCAUGGAUCCUAGUCAGGUUCGUUAGCUGCUGAGCCAUGAAGGGAACUCCUGAAAUAAUAUUAAUGUAGUAAAUGAGCUGAGUACUCAAAUUAUUUGUAAUAUGACAUUUUGCUUUACUCACAUUUAUUUGAAAAUUCUACCAAACAUGUUUUAAUUGAACAUGUUUCUCCAUACGUCUUUUUGAAAUCUUUUAGAGAUUUACUAUGAUUGUUUUCUUAAUAAGAAACAAUUUAGUUUUGAUAUGUGAAGUAUGCAUUCAAUUUGAGUUUUAUAGGAUGUCAUCGGUGUUCUCUUUGUGUUUAAGUGAGCUCUAGUCACCCAGGCACAGAGGAAAAAGGAGAAAGAGAUCUGAUUCUGAACAUUUUGUAUUUUCCUAGGAUUGGGUUAUAUUCACAAAAGGUUAUUACUGUCUGUAGCACAGUCAGCCCAAACAUCUUCUGCUUAGCCUUAUGAAAGCCAAAGUAGCAUUUAGCUUAUUGCCAUUGAUGCUUCACUGACAUUACCACACAUCCUUGCCAGCCUCCAGCACUCUAUCUUGCUUUAAAAAAAUGGGUUUACCAGAUGUCCCAUUUUAAAGACGUCCAGGGUUUGUAGAGCACCAUUUUUGGGACAUGGAUCUUAAAUUAUUGAAUGCUGAAAUCCCACUCCUCAUAAUGUUAAUCUUAACAAAAAUUUAAUAUCACAAACAUUUAAGAUGUUCUGGAUUUUAUAAAAUAAAUAAGUUGCAAUAUCAGUGACUUAAGAAGUGCUGGAAAACAGGUUCAUUGUGUGUGAAGUGAUAAAACCAAACAUCAUUUUCACACUUUUUUUCCUAAAAUUAUUCUAGCACCUUCUAAAUAAGAACUUGAGAAAACCAGUUAAUUACCCUGUUCUAAUUAAAAUAAUUAAACCCAUAACUGAAAAUUUAUGUUGAACAUCUUGCAUUUACUAGCAUGCAGCAAGAAUUUUCACAUUUUAUGUUAUUUCAUAAAGUUUUCUUUCCAGGUUUUUUUUGUUUGUUUGUUGGUUUGUUUGAUUGUUUGUUUUGACAUGGGGCACAAACUAAAAGAAUCACAAUAAAAAUCGUUCUUUGAGUCUGUCUGGACUUGUGAUUUAUUCAGUAUAUAACUCCCGCUGAUACUUUGUAUGCUAUUUAUCUUUUUUUUUUUUUUCUUUUUAGGGCCACACUUGCAGCGUAUGGAAAUUCCCAGGCUAGGGGUUGAAUCGGAACUGUAACUGCUGGCCUACACCACAGCCACAGCAAUGUGGGAUCUGAGCUGCAUCUGUGACUUAUACCACAGCUCAUAGCUAAGCGAGGCCAGGGAUCGACCCCACAGCCUCAUGGGUACUAGUCAGAUUUGUUUCCGUUAUGCCACAAUGAGAACUCCCUUAUCAUCUCUUUAACUUAAUGGGCAAAUCAUUUUAUGAUUAUGCCUAUUAUUAAGAAUGACUAAUUUAUUUACAUAUUGCGAAUGCUUCCAUAAUGACUUAUAUAAACAGGGUAAUAUUAAAUAAAAGUGUAAAAGAAUUUUGCUUUUGAGAGUCUACUAUGCCAUAUUCAGUAUGUUAAAUAAGACUUUCAUAUUGGCUAAUUCAUUAAAGUUUCACAACUACUAGAUUUGGAAACUGAGACUUGGAGAAAAUAGAAAGCAGAUACAAAGUCAUAAAAAUACUAACCAAACCAAGACAGUCCUAAACUUAAGCCAGCACUGAUAUCAAGUAAACUGUACUGCUACACUACCUAGUGACACUUUAAAAUUUCAAAAAUUCCAAACAUUUAUAAAAAAUACAAAAACAAAUGAAACUGACAUCCAUACCCCUUAGAUUCAAUAGGUGGUAGCAUUUUGCUAUUUUAAUUCAGUUAUCUCUUGCUCCCUUACCUUCCCCUCUCACUUUGAGAACUGUACUAAAUAUUUAGUCUGCUAUUGUGGUUGUCAACUAAAGGCAGUCUUGCCCUCGGCCCCACCCCCGCCCCCGGAGACUUUGACCAUUUCUACUGACAGUUUUGGUUGUCAGGUUUGGAAGGUAAGGUAUUACUGUCAUCUAAAGUAUAGAGAAGAGAUGCUGCUAAAUAUCCUCUGAUGCACAGAAUAGGCUUCACAGCAAAGACUGAAUUCUUCCCCAUUUCUUUCCCAUUCUCUUUCUUCCCAGAGGAUCAGAAAGUUGGUGUGUGUCAUAUUUUUGCAAGUUUUCAUAUUUUAUUACAUGUGUUUACAGACAGUGUGACCAAGAUGUUCCCUUGGGUACCUAAGGUAAAUUUGAUUCUUGUGUUGCUGCCUUGCUGAGAAAGACAAAAAUCCAAAGAUUAAAAUAAUACUAAAAUUAAAAAAUAAAUACCACCACCAUGACAAACAUAAUUUUAUGCAUUUGUGUUUUACAUAAAUCAUGUGAUUUUUUUUUUUUAAAGAACAGGAAGGUGUUUAACUCAAUCCCUUUACUAGGAUCAUUUUAUUUACUAUAGAUAUAUAAUGUAUUUUAAUAUCUCAUGGGUGAGUUCACCCUUUCUUAUUCCUAUAUUGAUAUAUUUCUCUUAACUGUUCCGUCAGCUGUAGCUGAAGACUUUCAUGUUUCAUAAAAGUCUCAUUUUGAUUUUAACUGAAAGUGCACUGCAUCCAUAGUUUAAUUAAUUCUUGCCAUCUUUAAUAAUCUUUCUUCUAAGAAAAAUAAUUUUCUCCAUUGAUGCACAUCUUCCUUUGUCCUCAAUCAUGUUUGCCCAAUUGUUUUGUUAUAUUUUUUUUUCAGAUACCUUACAAUUUUGUCUCUUUUGCAAAUGCUACCUUUAAAACAAUUUUCCGGUAUUUUGUUGCUUGUGAUUACAAAAGCAAAUUUGCUGAAUAAUCCUAUUUGCUGAGCAUGCUUCAGAAUAUAUAGAUUCUGAAUAGAGAUAUAAUAGAUAGCCAGAUAUAGAUAUAUGUAUAUAUUUUUCUUGGUCUUUUUUUUUUUUUUUGCGGUGGGGGGAGCACACCCAUGGCAAAUGGAAGUUUCCAGGUUAGGGGUUUAAUCAGAGCCAUAGCCACUGACCUAUGCCACAGUCACAGCAACGCAAGAUCCGAGCUGUGUCUGUGACCUACAUCACAGGUCAUGGCAAAGCCAGAUUCUUUAACCCACUGAGUGAGGCCAGGGAUGGAAUCCUCAAGGAUACUAGUUGGGUUCAUUUUCACUGAGCCACAGUGGGAACUCCACUUCAGAAUAUUUUACAUUGUCUAUGUGGACAGCCACGUUAUAUGUGUAUUGUUUAUUCCUUUUUGAUAUUUGUCUUUUGCUUACUUUGAAAUUAAGAACAUUCUUAAAUAGAAGCAUAAAAUUAUAAGUGUACCUCGUUAUCAUCUCCCUGUCUUUAAGGGGCUCUUUUUCAAGUUUACCAAAGAUGUGGUAUCACUAAAAUUUUCAUUAGUCUUUACUAUGUUCAAGGACUUUGUCUUCUAUAUCCGUUCCAUAAAUGGAUACUCACUUUUGUCAAGUGGGUUUUCUAUAUUUAUUGGCAAUAUCAUAUUGCUAUUCUUCUUUAAUUUAUUAUUUUGAGGAAUUAAAUGUAUACAUAAGAUGGUGUUGAAACAUUUCUGAAUUCCUGGGAUAAAUCCUGUUUCAUCAUGAAACAUUAUAUACCUACAAUCACUUCUGGAUUUGUUUGACUUGAAGAAGAGAGUCAUUAUUCUAAGGAUUUUUGUGUUAUUUAUUUGUUCUGUUAUAAUAAGCCUCUCUCUCUGGAUGAUUUUAAUAUCUGCCUUUGGUGUUCUGUGAUUUUUGACUGGGAUGUGUCUAGGUGUAGUACUUCUUGGACUCUAAAUGUUCAGUUUGAGAAUUCAUAUCAUUCAUUACCUCUGCAAAUUCUCAGUCAUUAUCUCUUUGAAAUAUGAAUUUUUUCUUGUUUUUUGUAAUCUCUCUUACUGAACUAAUACUAGAUGAAUCUUAGACUCUCUCCUUGAUGACAUUUAACUUUUACAGUCUUAUAAAUUCUAGGUGAUUUAUAUAGCUCCGUCAAUCUACAAAUUCUCUCUUCAAAUAUAGUAAAUUUUAUUUUAGUUAUUCUAUGCUUAUGUACAAAAGUUCACAUCAUAUGGAUUUAUUUAAUUUUUACAUUUUAAUCAUUAGACUGGUAUUUUAUAAUCCUUUUUAAGAUUUUUCUAUCAUUAACUUAGGCUUGAGGAUUCCUAAUUUUUGUGUCUGCUGAUACUCUGACUGUUUUGCUUAUUUUUAAUAAGAUUUUACUUUUAGGAAAACUUGUUUUUGUUUCUAUUUGUAAACCUUAUAUGAUCUGUAGUAUAAUAAUCCCCCUGGUAUAGAUUUGCUUCUACUAGGUGGUCCUAGCAGGAUUUCUAUUAAAAAUCAAGUUUUUGGCAUAUUGACAUUCAAUCAGAAAAAUAGUGCCCAAGACAAGUAGUGACCAAUCUUUAUGCUGAGGCUCCCCCCCCUUUCAGAGUCCAAGUAGAAAGAGUUGUUUAUGAGCCAGUGUGCAGAUUUUCCUAGUUCAAUUUAAUGAGAGUACCAUCAUAAGUAGGGAUUUCUUUCAAAUUCCAGCCAUGUAUUUACCUAGUACAUUGUCUCCUCUUCUGAUGUGAGCACUGCAUUUGAAGGAUCUAGUCAAUCAUUGCUUCCACUUCCUCCUCCUCACCUGAUUCCGAACAUCAGCUCACCCCUUAACUGUUCAUGCUUUCAGUUUCUUUAUUCCUGCCACUGAGGAAAACACUAUGGAGACUCCUCAGAAAACUAAACAUAGAACUAUCAUUUGAUCCAGCAAUUCUACUCCUGGGAAAAUUGAAAACACUAAUUGAAAAGAUACAGGCACUCCAGUGUUCACAGCAGCAUUAUUUACAAUAGCCAAGAUUUGGAAGCAACCUAAGUGUCCAUCA
This 4983-nucleotide long non-coding RNA is filed under the name Sus scrofa (pig). RNAcentral describes it as "lncRNA (ENSSSCG00040035705.1)". The record is from RNAcentral. Lineage: Eukaryota; Metazoa; Chordata; Mammalia; Artiodactyla; Suidae.